UACUCCUACGGGAGGCAGCAGUGGGGAAUAUUGCACAAUGGGGGAAACCCUGAUGCAGCCAUGCCGCGUGUGUGAAGAAGGCCUUCGGGUUGUAAAGCACUUUCAGUAGGGAGGAAGGUAGUGUAGUUAACACCUGCAUUAUUUGACGUUACCUACAGAAGAAGCACCGGCUAACUCCGUGCCAGCAGCCGCGGUAAU
This 198-nucleotide ribosomal RNA is filed under the name uncultured bacterium. RNAcentral's name for it is "partial 16S ribosomal RNA". It matches the Rfam family "Bacterial small subunit ribosomal RNA", at positions 334 to 524 of the family's 1533-position model. The record is from RNAcentral.